CGAGCGGCGGACGGGUGAGUAAUGCUUAGGAAUCUGCCCAGUAGUGGGGGAUAGCCCGGGGAAACCCGGAUUAAUACCGCAUACGUCCUACGGGAGAAAGCAGGGGAUCUUCGGACCUUGCGCUAUUGGAUGAGCCUAAGUCGGAUUAGCUAGUUGGUGGGGUAAAGGCCUACCAAGGCGACGAUCCGUAGCUGGUCUGAGAGGAUGAUCAGCCACAUCGGGACUGAGACACGGCCCGAACUCCUACGGGAGGCAGCAGUGGGGAAUAUUGGACAAUGGGGGCAACCCUGAUCCAGCCAUGCCGCGUGUGUGAAGAAGGCUUUCGGGUUGUAAAGCACUUUCAGUAGGGAGGAAAACCUUAUGGCUAAUACCCAUGAGGCUUGACGUUACCUACAGAAGAAGCACCGGCUAACUCCGUGCCAGCAGCCGCGGUAAUACGGAGGGUGCAAGCGUUAAUCGGAAUUACUGGGCGUAAAGCGCGCGUA
RNAcentral lists this ribosomal RNA (485 nucleotides) under Marinobacter nauticus. RNAcentral's name for it is "bacterial SSU rRNA". It matches the Rfam family "Bacterial small subunit ribosomal RNA", at positions 92 to 573 of the family's 1533-position model. The record is from RNAcentral. Lineage: Bacteria; Pseudomonadati; Pseudomonadota; Gammaproteobacteria; Pseudomonadales; Marinobacteraceae.